Molecule: transfer RNA, 72 nt
Filed under: Cryptococcus neoformans H99
Lineage: Eukaryota; Fungi; Basidiomycota; Tremellomycetes; Tremellales; Cryptococcaceae
Description: tRNA-Met (CAT) (tRNA-Met-CAT-2-1)
Rfam family: tRNA
About the family: Transfer RNA (tRNA) molecules are approximately 80 nucleotides in length.
Source: RNAcentral
GCCGGUAUAGUUUAAGGGUAGAAACCUGCCACUCAUAACGGCAGUAAGAUGGUUCGAGUCCCUCUGCUGGCU